Molecule: long non-coding RNA, 1639 nt
Organism: Ricinus communis (castor bean)
Lineage: Eukaryota; Viridiplantae; Streptophyta; Magnoliopsida; Malpighiales; Euphorbiaceae
Exons: 2
Source: RefSeq, a predicted model, not a curated record
GAGAAAACAAUUACAAAAAGUUGAGGAAAUGAAAAAGCUAGAUGUAUUAGCACAUGUUUAGCUUUUCUGUUAUUGAUUUAGUCAUUAGUUUGUUUCUCCAUUAUUUGCAGUUUGUUCUAUUAUCUAUGGCAAGGUAUUUAUUUGUUAAGAUUGCUCCUAUAAUAAUGGAAACUUGAUGUAAUAUAAAUUGGGUCUUCAUUUUAAUAGAAUCUCAGAUUGCAUUCUCAAACUCUUUAUGGUAGCAGAGCUCUUGCUGCUCUAACGAGUUUGAUCGUCUUCUUCUCAUUUUCCUGCUACACUCAACAACAAUAAAAAAACAGAGGCAAAAAUGACCUCUACAACAUGGCCUUCCCUUAUCAACGCUGAUAACACAAAUUCAAAUAAUCAAAUCAUUCAAUUCAACCCAACAUCUCAGUUACCUAUCAAACUACAAGGCAGCUCAAAUUUCUCCACUUGGAAAAUGCAACUGACAUUACUUCUAGAAGGUCAUGAAUUAUCUGGGCAUCUUGAUGGCUCUACGCCCUGCCCAUCACAAACAAUCACUCAGUUAGACAAAACUGAAAUCAACCCAGCUUACCGUCUUUGGGUUCAUCAAGAUCGACUAAUUCACCAGGCUAUGAUGGCCUCCAUCGACAGCACCAUAGUUUCCACCGUUGCUAGUGCCUCUAAUGUAGAAAAAGCAUGGUCUCUUCUGCACACCACCUAUGCAAACAAAAGUCACACACGGAUUUACAGCUUAUGAGAUUAACUUGGUCGAAUUAACAAGGAAGACAAGAGUGUUGUUGAAUAUCUUCAUCAAAUUCGAACCAUUGCAGACGAACUAGCUGUUGCAGGCCCACUAGUGGUUGAAGCAGAAUUAACUAUCAAAAUUCUCAAUGGGCUUGGUUUCGAUUUUCGUGAAGUGGCAGCAUCAAUCCGCAAAUGAAGCAUUCUGAUAGAAUAUCCUGAGUUGUAUGAAAAGCUACUAGACCAUGAAAUCUUUCUGCAGCAUCAAGGCCGACAAAAUUCUACGUCAAUAACAGCUGUAGUUGCAACCAAAAUCAACACUAACAUGCAGGCUUCUCGCUUAUAUCGUAAUUCACGUCGAUUUUCCAACAACAAAUGCACUCAACAAUCAUAAUGGCGACAACAAAAUCCCAAUAUUUUCAAUAAUGGUAUUCAAUGUCAGCUAUGCAAUUGGCCAGGUCAUGUAACAUUAGUAUGUCGGUCCAAGUCUCAUAAUCAUCUUGAAACAAAAAGCAAAGUAUAUUGCUGGGUACCAAACAUCUGAAAAUCCAUGGAUCCUCGACACUGGCGCAAUGCAUCAUAUCACGACUGAGCUGCAGAAUAUGCCUGAGUACAAUGGCAGUGAAGAAGUAAGAAUGGGAGAUGGACCUAACUACAGGGCAAUCGCUGGUGCACGGCCGGAAUAGACACGAGUUGUAUGAGUGGCCUAUCACUUCUUCACCAACUCCUCCACAAAGUCAUAUGGCCUCUCACAACACCACCAUUGAAAUAUGGCAUCGCAGACUAGGACAUCCUCAUGCUAGAAUUUUAUAAUUUAUUUUACGUAAUUUCUCUUUUUCUCUUCUUAUAAAAGACAAAUUUCCUUUUUGUAAUUCUUGUGUAACAAAUAAAUCGCAUCGUCUUCCAUUUUCUA